This is a long non-coding RNA of Manis javanica (Malayan pangolin), 1028 nucleotides long. RefSeq lists it as uncharacterized. Lineage: Eukaryota; Metazoa; Chordata; Mammalia; Pholidota; Manidae. The record is from RefSeq and is a predicted model, not a curated record.
GGGGCGCGGUGGGGGCCUGGCGAGGGCGGGGUCUGGGGCCGGUCGCGCGCCGGGGUGCCCCUCCCCGCCCCUGCCCCCGCGCAGCGCGCGGGCUGCGCGCCUCCUUGUCAAUGGAAGCGCGGGAUGGGCUGCCCGCGCAGUCAUCAGGUUGCUGGAAUGAUUAAUGCAGGUCUAUCAGAUACAGGGGAAAAAAAUUCAGCUACCCAGAUUCUGCUAUCCCUACAAGACUGAAGACAGACUGCAAGAGUAAAGAGGUGAUGCUGGUGCAGUUUGAGAAAUACAUCACUGGACUGUAAACUUUGAGGCCAACAGCUACUGGAUGUGUGCUCAGGAUAUGUGCUCUGCUCCAUGGUCACCACAGCCCAAGACAGCAAACCAAACUGGGAGAGCAGGUGUCCAGCCUCUUCUCACUUCACACCUAAUGUCCAUUGGCAAAGCAAGUCACAUGGCCAACCCCCAAAUCAGGAGGUGGGAAGUUCACUCCAUGCACCAUGAACCUUUGGCAAAGGUACACAUAUAUAAUACUCCUGGAGGAGAGUGAAGAAUUGGGACCAGUAAUUCACCCUACCACAGUUGGGGAAGACAAAAAUAACCCAGAGAAUAUGAAAAGGUGCAUGCAUGAGUGUGUGGUCAGUUCACCUCUAACUGCUUCUUUGCUGAGAGUCUUAAAUCUGCCCCAUGGCAUUGGCAUCACUACCAACUCAGGCUGAAGGACACCCAGGUCAAGGAUGGGGUGAUGGGACACCUCAAGCCUCCCAUAUUGGAGACAGCACUAAGAUGGCUCAGUAGCUUCCAUUAACUGGCUCUUUUGGUUUUUCCAACCUGAUGUCAUUUUAUCAGCCUGAGCCUCAGGCUGUCGAGACCAUCCCACUGUGUCUUCAAACCUCUGGCAGCCCUUACAUCACUAUGUGGAGCCUGGAAAUGAAGCCAACAUGAAAUGCAGAGCUAAGCAGGUAUAAAGAACUGAGUUAUGAUCUAUCAUUGACGCCCCUGGAUAUAUAUAGCCAUGCAUGAAGCCAGAAUUUCUC